GGUGUAGCGGUGAAAUGCAUAGAUAUCACGCAGAACUCCGAUUGCGAAGGCAGCAUACCGGCGCCCUACUGACGCUGAGGCACGAAAGCGUGGGUAUCGAACAGGAUUAGAUACCCUGGUAGUCCACGCAGUAAACGAUGAAUGCUAACUGUCCGGUGCGAGUGAGCGCUGGGCGGUACAGCGAAAGCGUUAAGCAUUCCACCUGGGGAGUACGCCGGCAACGGUGAAACUCAAAGGAAUUGACGGGGGCCCGCACAAGCGGAGGAACAUGUGGUUUAAUUCGAUGAUACGCGAGGAACCUUACCCGGGCUCAAACGCAGGCUGACGGGUCCCGAAAGGGGCCUUUCUUCGGACAUUCUGCGAGGUGCUGCAUGGUUGUCGUCAGCUCGUGCCGUGAGGUGUCGGCUUAAGUGCCAUAACGAGCGCAACCCCUGUCCACAGUUGCCAGCAGGUAAAGCUGGGGACUCUGUGGAGACUGCCGGCGCAAGCUGCGAGGAAGGCGGGGAUGACGUCAAAUCAGCACGGCCCUUACGUCCGGGGCGACACACGUGUUACAAUGGCAGGUACAGCGGGAAGCCACCCGGCGACGGGGCGCGGAACCCGAAAACCUGUCUCAGUUCGGAUUGGAGUCUGCAACCCGACUCCAUGAAGCUGGAUUCGCUAGUAAUCGCGCAUCAGCCACGGCGCGGUGAAUACGUUCCCGGGCCUUGUACACACCGCCCGUCAAGCCAUGGAAGCCGGGGGUGCCUGAAGUGCGUGACCGCAAGGAGCGCCCCAGGGUAAAACCGGUGACUGGGGCUAAGUCGUAACAAGGUAACCGUAA
Molecule: ribosomal RNA, 823 nt
Filed under: uncultured bacterium
Lineage: Bacteria
Description: bacterial SSU rRNA
Rfam family: Bacterial small subunit ribosomal RNA
Source: RNAcentral